RNAcentral lists this ribosomal RNA (394 nucleotides) under uncultured Anaeromyxobacter sp. RNAcentral's name for it is "bacterial SSU rRNA". It matches the Rfam family "Bacterial small subunit ribosomal RNA", at positions 67 to 447 of the family's 1533-position model. Lineage: Bacteria; Pseudomonadati; Myxococcota; Myxococcia; Myxococcales; Anaeromyxobacteraceae. The record is from RNAcentral.
CGAGAAAGCCCGCAAGGGUGAGUAAAGCGGCGCACGGGUGCGUAACACGUGGGUAAUCUGCCCUAGAGUCUGGAAUAACUCGCCGAAAGGCGUGCUAAUGCCGGAUGAGACCACGGGAGCUUCGGCUCCUGCGGGAAAAGGUGGCCUCUGUACACAAGCUAUCGCUCUAGGAUGAGCCCGCGGCCCAUCAGCUAGUUGGCGGGGUAAUGGCCCACCAAGGCAACGACGGGUAGCUGGUCUGAGAGGACGAUCAGCCACACUGGAACUGAGACACGGUCCAGACUCCUACGGGAGGCAGCAGUGGGGAAUCUUGCGCAAUGGGCGAAAGCCUGACGCAGCAACGCCGCGUGUGUGAUGAAGGUCUUCGGAUCGUAAAGCACUGUCGCGAGGGACG